RNAcentral lists this ribosomal RNA (460 nucleotides) under uncultured bacterium. Its description in RNAcentral is "partial 16S ribosomal RNA". It matches the Rfam family "Bacterial small subunit ribosomal RNA", at positions 338 to 795 of the family's 1533-position model. The record is from RNAcentral.
CCUACGGGUGGCAGCAGUGAGGAAUAUUGGUCAAUGGGCGCGAGCCUGAACCAGCCAAGUCGCGUGAAGGAUGAAUGCCCUACGGGUUGUAAACUUCUUUUAUAAAGGAAUAAAGUGAGGCACGUGUGCCUUUUUGCAUGUACUUUAAGAAUAAGGAUAGGCUAACUUCGUGCCAUCAGCCGCGGUAAUACGGAGGAUGCGAGCGUUACCCGGAUUUAUUGGGUUUAAAGGGAGCGGAGGGGGGUUGUUAAGUCAGUUGUGAAAGUUUGCGGCUCAACCGUAGAGUUGCAAUUGAUACUGGCAGUCUUGAGUGCAGGUGAGGUAAGCGGAAUUCGUGGUGUAGCGGUGAAAUGCGUAGAUAUCACGAAGAACUCCGAUUGCGAAGGCAGCUUACUAGACUGCCACUGACGUUGAUGCUCGAAAGUGUGGGUAUCAAACAGGAUUAGAUACCCCAGUAGUC